Molecule: long non-coding RNA, 242 nt
Filed under: Rattus norvegicus (Norway rat)
Lineage: Eukaryota; Metazoa; Chordata; Mammalia; Rodentia; Muridae
Description: long non-coding RNA NONRATT013914
Source: RNAcentral
UCCAUUGUUUUAUACAGCAGCAAGGCUGAGGUAGACUUUGAAACACUAAGGCCUGAUCUCAGUCUGCAGAUCAGCCUAUCUCAGGAGGAGCCUAAACCCAGAGCACCACACAAUGGCUUCUCAAGACCUCCUGGCAAGGAUUCUGAUCCUGCCCCAUAUUGUCUGGCCUCAGCUAUUCUCUGAAACAAUGGAGCAAAGACUCCCCUCAAGGAUGCGUUUUUAAAAUAUACGUUUCUCCACGU